UACGUAGGUUCCGAGCGUUGUCCGGAUUUAUUGGGCGUAAAGCGAGCGCAGGCGGUUAGAUAAGUCUGAAGUUAAAGGCUGUGGCUUAACCAUAGUACGCUUUGGAAACUGUUUAACUUGAGUGCAAGAGGGGAGAGUGGAAUUCCAUGUGUAGCGGUGAAAUGCGUAGAUAUAUGGAGGAACACCGGUGGCGAAAGCGGCUCUCUGGCUUGUAACUGACGCUGAGGCUCGAAAGCGUGGGGAGCAAACAGGAUUAGAUACACUG
This 265-nucleotide ribosomal RNA is filed under the name uncultured Streptococcaceae bacterium. RNAcentral describes it as "partial 16S ribosomal RNA". It matches the Rfam family "Bacterial small subunit ribosomal RNA", at positions 524 to 789 of the family's 1533-position model. Lineage: Bacteria; Bacillati; Bacillota; Bacilli; Lactobacillales; Streptococcaceae. The record is from RNAcentral.